AUUAAACCAUUUCCCUCCUUCUUCACCACCGUUUUCACCAUACCAUAAACCCGAACCUCCAUUUCUGUGUUAAAAUUUGAAACCUUUACAACUUCUCCUUGUACAAUGCUAUCGAUGUACAUUAGAAGAAAAUUCCUCAAUUUCUUCUCAACUCACAACAUUUCGCAAUCCAAAAUUCCUCACCAACUCAAUGCACAUUCUCAAUUCAACCUUUUUCCAAAACCCCCA
This 228-nucleotide long non-coding RNA is filed under the name Lupinus angustifolius (narrow-leaved blue lupine). Its description in RNAcentral is "long non-coding RNA (LANG_LNC002668)". Lineage: Eukaryota; Viridiplantae; Streptophyta; Magnoliopsida; Fabales; Fabaceae. The record is from RNAcentral.